UCAGAGAACCCAGGUGUGUUAAGCUUGGAUAUUGCACUGCAAGACUUGAAUCUAUAAACGUAGCGUCGCUUAGAUCACACAGGUCAUUACUACAAACAGCACGAAGAUCCUGAAAGAAGGUGCACAGACUGUAGGGAAAGAAUAACAACAAAACCCAGUUUUUUUUUAUAUUUCAGUGAUUCCAAAGAGCAUUCUAGUUUUUUUAAACUACAGAAAAUUGGUGGUAUUUUCAUCCAUGGUGUUUCUAUCCAGUUUCAGUACCCAUGUUUUGUGAGGAAAAUGUUUUACCAAUGCAGGAGGAACUCUUAAACCAAUUGCAAUGUUAGACUGGAGAAAAUUGGUAGUUAGUGUAUCUUUGAGGUACCAUCAAAUCAGGUUUUUUUGUUUUGUUUUGUUUUUAAAAAUUUUUUAAUCAGUAUUGUUUUGGGAAGUAAUAUACUUUGAAACUCUUCAAUUAGUAAUCUCUAGAAGACAGCCUGGGAACACAUAUUCUGUUGUUUCAAAUAAAUACAUGUUUUUGAAUAGCAAGUUC
This 532-nucleotide long non-coding RNA is filed under the name Mus musculus (house mouse). Its description in RNAcentral is "long non-coding RNA chr8:94659227-94659759". The record is from RNAcentral. Lineage: Eukaryota; Metazoa; Chordata; Mammalia; Rodentia; Muridae.